AAAUCCCAUCAGCUCCACACAACCACUCAAGACCACAGAAAACUUUAUGCCGCCUUGCCUCCAUCCUGCUCCUAUCCCUCUCCGAAUAUCUGUUAUCUUCCGCCACCACUCCUCCAGCAUCACAAAACCCUUGAUGACUCUGACCCUAAAAGCGAGUUAUACUUCCAGCUUCCAUCCGACUUCCCCUGUUCUCGUUAUUCACGAUGUCGAUCUCAUCGCUCUUUUCUCUUGCUAGCGUCAUAACAUCCUCACUGUUGUAGCAAGGUAGCGACAUACCUCAUCAUUUACUCCUUAGCACUUAGCAACACCGAAGAUGGUAAGUUCUGAUUUUUGAUCAAUUAUUUUUGGGUAAUGUGGGAGUUCGAAUUUCAUUGUGUGCAAUUUUGUCUUCUGGCCCAUCUCUUGCCCGGUAGCAUGAAUUUUUCUUAAACUAUUGUAUUUUUAGUUCUCAAAUAUCUAUCAAUUUGCCAGCGCUUUAGUUUCCAAAUGUUUAUUGGAAAUAUAUUCUCAUCAAGUGGGAAGCAUCACAUGGAACGUCAUCUUGUUGAUAUAUUUAGCAGGUCCUUGUUUUAUUUUGUUACAAUAUGUUUUAUCUCAAGCAAUGUGAUAGCGAGAUGAUGAAGAAGAGGUCGUUAGUUGUUUGUAUCCUAAUGACAUAUAUACAAUGAUAAUAAAAACUUGCUUGUAUUAAUUUACUAGUAUAUAUCACCCUUGAUUUAAUAGUUUUGAUUAAUUCUUUAUGGUAUGAUGGAUACUAGUUGUAGAAGAUGAUAACUUUUGUGAUUUAUUUCUUUUUGCACAAAAUAUGUACCACAAUUGAUAAAUUUUGUGAUUUAUUUCUCACUUUAUGGAGUUUGGAUUUUGAUUUAACGAAGUCUUCAUUUUGAUUUUAUGUGACAUCCCCAAUUUCACGGUCAGAAAAGACCGAUUUAUUUAUGCUUAUUUUGAAAUCAAAGUUUCCUUAAAAGAAUAAUAUUGCGGAAUAUGUUCCCAAAAACAUGAUAAUGAUAUUAUUAAAACAUUUUCCAAUAAACGUAUUUAUAUUAAAACCUUGAGAUGUCAAUAUGUCAUUGUCGAUACAGUACAUAAGCAUAAAUGAAACAAUACAUACCUUACACUACUUAGGGGCUGUUUGAUUUGGUGCUGACAGGGUCCGAUCAAAUGUUUUGGUCUGACUCGGUCCGGUCAGGGUGUUUGAUAUGCUUCUGACCUAGGCCACACGUUUGACUCAGCCCAUAAAAACAACUAUCUCGAUCCUUUAAAAAAACAUGGUUGAUUGAAAACUUACCCACAUUUGGCCUUCUCUAUCUAGCCCUACACAUGAUUUCUUACUUACCCCCGUUACGAUUUCUUCUAGAUCCUCCUCGUACCUCCGGCCUCAACCUUUUCCUCCUUUCCAGCUCCACCUCGCCGGCAACCUCCUCCGACUUCGUCCUCUCUAAUGCUAGACCUCUAUCGCAGCUUCACUUUCGCCACUGCUUUAGCGACGUCGACUUCCUCCAGUAUUCCAUAGCAGCUUCACGUCGUCACUACACCAUCGUCUUCAUUAGGUAAGGUCAAUUUUCUUCAAGCUUUUUUUCCUUAUCUAAAUCGAUUUCUUGUAAUUUUUUGGUCGUCAGAGUUGAUUUUUGGUUGUUGAUUGGUUUCAUGUGUGUGAUUUCUCCAUCUAAUUGAUUUUAAGCAUCUAGUCGAUAGAGUGAAUACGAUAAUUCUCAGUGAAUAUGUUUGAUACCCUUUCCUUGAAUUUUAGGUUUUCUGUUUUGAGCCUCUUUGUUUAUUGUACAAUGUAAGCUAUAAAUUUAUGACUUUUGGAAUUGUAGAUCUAUUUGACUUUAAUUUUGGUUUUAAAUGUUUAAUGGUUUCUGAAUGAAUCUUUUUUACUUUAUGCAGCUUAUUGAUUAAUUUCAAUGAAGGAUAACAGCUCAGGAGACUGGGAUAAUGAAAUUUGAUGACUGGUACAAGGAAAUAGUUCAAGAAUACAUCAAUUUAAUGAAAACAAAAUCACUAUUUAUGCAUCAUGUUCCCUAGAUUAGUGGUAAUGUUGUCAUUGAUUAUUUUUUGAAGGUUUUGGUAAUGAGAUAGUUGAUAACUUUUUUCUUCAAUUCUUUAUAAAUUUACAUUAUUUUUUCAAUUUUUUGGAUCAAAUUGAGAAAAUUUAU
Molecule: long non-coding RNA, 2159 nt
Filed under: Lactuca sativa (garden lettuce)
Lineage: Eukaryota; Viridiplantae; Streptophyta; Magnoliopsida; Asterales; Asteraceae
Description: long non-coding RNA (LSAT_LNC007818)
Source: RNAcentral